Molecule: long non-coding RNA, 664 nt
Filed under: Phoenix dactylifera (date palm)
Lineage: Eukaryota; Viridiplantae; Streptophyta; Magnoliopsida; Arecales; Arecaceae
Description: long non-coding RNA (PDAC_LNC010463)
Source: RNAcentral
UACUUGAAAAAUAUAUCAUCAUGUUGGAUCAUUAAUUCUUAAUGACUUCAAAGUUCUUUUAUGAUAAUAAGAGCAUUGGGGCACAAAUAUCAAAAUAUGCAAUUUUUGAUACAUCUUAGAGCUCAUUUAAAGACUUUCUUUUAUUUCUUUAGAAAAUAGGCACAAUUUGAUACAUAAAAAUAGGAAUUGGCACAAAAUUGAAGUUCUAAGGAGCAAGCCAAUUAGGACUCAUUAGUGAAUUUCAAAAUAGAUUUUCUAAGUGAUACUCAAGAAAAUUCAACACAUUAUUCUCCCCCUUUUUCAUUAAGUUAGAGACUCUUAAGAUCAACUGUUUGAAUUGCAAUUUGGUUCAUGAUUUAUGCAUAAGGUAUAUUAACCAAAUAACAAGCCUCAAGGAGUAUCAUAAAGUUUUUCAGAUUUAAAUUUCAGAUGAUACAUAUUGGAGAGUAUUAGGAUCACUUUUCAUUUCUCUCUCCUUUAGUUAUGGAUUUAUGCGAUUAAGUUUCAUAUGAUCUUUCCUUCUGAAAUUUUCUUUCUCCCCCUUAAUUGAUCAUUUCAUUUAAGAGUUUAGAAUUUAAAGAUAAUGUUCAAUAAAAUUGUCAAUCUCAAAACAAAUAUAUUUUCUAUAAGUAUCAGCUUAUUUUCAUAAGACUCAAUGUUUGAG